RNAcentral lists this unclassified non-coding RNA (273 nucleotides) under Thelephoraceae sp. RNAcentral describes it as "partial contains small subunit ribosomal RNA, internal transcribed spacer 1, and 5.8S ribosomal RNA". The stretch from base 1 to 46 matches the Rfam family "Eukaryotic small subunit ribosomal RNA", at positions 1786 to 1831 of the family's 1831-position model. Lineage: Eukaryota; Fungi; Basidiomycota; Agaricomycetes; Thelephorales; Thelephoraceae. The record is from RNAcentral.
AAGUCGUAACAAGGUUUCCGUAGGUGAACCUGCGGAAGGAUCAUUACUGAACUGCUGACACGAGCUGUUGCUGGUCUCCAAACGGGGCAUGUGCACGCUCUGUUUGUGCAUCCACUCACACCUGUGCACCUUCUGUAGUUCUGUGGCCUGGGGGACUUGUCCUCCUGCCGUGGUUCUGCGUCUUUACACUCACGCUGUGAUAAAGUCUAAUGGAAUGCAUGCCGCGUUUAACGCAAUACAAUACAACUUUCAGCAACGGAUCUCUUGGCUCUC